RNAcentral lists this transfer RNA (75 nucleotides) under Candidatus Jettenia caeni. RNAcentral describes it as "tRNA-Thr". It matches the Rfam family "tRNA". Rfam says of the family: Transfer RNA (tRNA) molecules are approximately 80 nucleotides in length. Their secondary structure includes four short double-helical elements and three loops (D, anti-codon, and T loops). Lineage: Bacteria; Pseudomonadati; Planctomycetota; Candidatus Brocadiia; Candidatus Brocadiales; Candidatus Brocadiaceae. The record is from RNAcentral. RNAcentral also lists the same sequence under 3 other names.
AGCCCGCGUAGCUCAAUUGGCGGAGCACGUCAUUCGUAAUGAUGAGGUUGUCGGUUCGACUCCGAUCGCGGGCUU